UUUUCAGACCAGAUGUGCUACC
Molecule: microRNA, 22 nt
Filed under: Ciona intestinalis (vase tunicate)
Lineage: Eukaryota; Metazoa; Chordata; Ascidiacea; Phlebobranchia; Cionidae
Description: cin-miR-4142-3p
Source: miRBase by way of RNAcentral